CACCGCGCUGCCUAAAUUGCAGAAAGCGGGUGCGAGACCCUCAGCCGGCAGCCCCAGAGGGUCGGGAGCCGGAGGAGGGAAGCGCGUCAUCAGCGGAGGCUUUCGGAGGCGCCAUCAUAUCCUUUGGAAAUCCGGACUUCUUGUGAAGUGGCAAUCAUGCGACAAACGCACACCACCUGACUUCUCAGACUGGUCCCCAUCUAGGCAGCAGCCUCCUGGCCUUUAUUUCUUUUCAACAAACAAAGUGGUCACGAAGGGAGUGGAUUAUGACGCCAUCCUAGCCUGCAGGGGUGAAGAGGAAGAAUACAAGGCCCAAUUACAGCCAUCACUGACUGAGCAGGACCCUGAGGAGGUGACAUUUGCCCAGCCGUUCCACAGUGGCAAACCUGGACCAGGUGCUCACCAGGUGCCUGGCUCAGAGUAUCACAGCUUCUGACCUUAGGGACUGAAAACCCAGCGCAGUUUUUCUGGUUCGAUGACCAUCUACAUCAAAAUUGUCCUGGUGCUCGUUACAAUGUGAAUUUCUCCCCUCCCCGAAGGACAAUCAGAGAAUUGGAUGAAGCAGGUCCGGCUGUAGCACCCAGGUGUGAUUCUGAUGCGCACUCGUUCGCCAGGUGAACGGGGGAAAAAUUGGUCCAGGCAGGAGGAACAGCACCGACAAUGGCUUGGGAGUCCUCCGUAGCCUUCAAGCACUGGGGUUGCAGUUCAGAAACUGUUGGCUCUGGGAGGAGAGGGCUCCUGUCCAUACAGUUUAUCACCCGGAGCCUGGAACACAGCAGGGCCUCAUAAAUACUUGUUAAUACGCUGGCUCCCCAAAUAGAAGUGAGUAGAAAGUCAAAGGGAAAAACGAAAGAUUCAGAGGAGGAAAAAAAAAAGGUGUUUCUAAGGG
This 889-nucleotide long non-coding RNA is filed under the name Equus asinus (donkey). RNAcentral's name for it is "lncRNA (ENSEASG00005029822.1, ENSEASG00020029095.1)". The record is from RNAcentral. Lineage: Eukaryota; Metazoa; Chordata; Mammalia; Perissodactyla; Equidae.